UAGAGAAUCCCUUGGUAUGGUAUUUUGCCCAGCGUCAACUGUCAACUUGACAUAGUCAAGAGCCAAUUGCUAAGAGAGUCUCAAAUGAGUGUCCUUUUCAGCAAUCUGGAAGCUGAAAUAAGCCCUUUCCUUCUUAAAGGGGGUUUUGGUCACGAUAUUUGUGGCAGCAACUGAAUCAAACUGGAAUAUUUGGAAUCUACGCCUUUUGAUGGGACUAUAAACAUCUUUUCACAGCUUCUGAACUACAUCCCAUAAUAUACAUGACCGCAUCCAUCACAGACAGCCAAGAGGCUGCUUCUGGGAUUUUUUUCCAUCCAGUAAUAUCUCUCUGGGGCCGAGAUGUGGAGAAGUUGCCCGCCCCUCUCUUCCCUUCCUCCAACAACAGAGUCCCAUUGAGCUUUGUCCUUACCCACCCCACCCAGAAGAGAAACCAAGUUCCCCACCUAAGGACUGCGGAAUCCAGACACACCAAAGUGACACAAAUACAAUACCCAGACUUCACUGUGUGAUGUGUAGGAGAAACUUAAUAAAUGUAGCUCUGACCUCUCAUGCUCCCUUCUCCUUUUAUCUAUUACAGUAGUUUCAACCUUCCUGAUGCUGUGAACCCUUUAAUAAGUUCCUCAUGUUGUUGUGACCCCCAACAUAAAAUUAUUAUCAUUGCU
Molecule: long non-coding RNA, 662 nt
Filed under: Rattus norvegicus (Norway rat)
Lineage: Eukaryota; Metazoa; Chordata; Mammalia; Rodentia; Muridae
Description: long non-coding RNA NONRATT027684
Source: RNAcentral